CUAAAGAUUGGUAGGACUUAUGGAAGUAAUUAUUGUGAAUGGCCUUAGGGGGGCAGAUGGUACUUCAUACUCUUUAUCUUGUGAAUUGGCAGGAUGGGCCUCCACCAUUUUCUUUGAAAGCUUUCCUCAACAGCUAAAUGAUGAUGGUGUUUGAACUUACUGCCAACAGGCAGUUCCAGGUUGUUCCAUUCUCCUGGUCUGCUUGGGCUAUCUACAUGGUUUGUGGUGUAAGCUUCUGUCAUGGGAGAAUAGUUCUCGAGGGCCUGCAAUGUGUAAAGGCUAGCUGGGUAGGCCAUGUUUCGGUCUGCCACAACUGAAACAUACGGUAUAUUAAGAGAGAAGUAGCAACUUCACUGUUUUAGAUGAAACAUACCAUAAUUUGAUUAAUUAUCCUUUAAUUAAACAAAAGAGGAACAUUUCAUAUUUUA
Molecule: long non-coding RNA, 428 nt
Organism: Magnolia sinica
Lineage: Eukaryota; Viridiplantae; Streptophyta; Magnoliopsida; Magnoliales; Magnoliaceae
Exons: 2
Source: RefSeq, a predicted model, not a curated record